RNAcentral lists this ribosomal RNA (357 nucleotides) under Psychrobacter sp. RNAcentral describes it as "bacterial SSU rRNA". It matches the Rfam family "Bacterial small subunit ribosomal RNA", at positions 930 to 1286 of the family's 1533-position model. The record is from RNAcentral. Lineage: Bacteria; Pseudomonadati; Pseudomonadota; Gammaproteobacteria; Moraxellales; Moraxellaceae.
CGGUGGAGCAUGUGGUUUAAUUCGAUGCAACGCGAAGAACCUUACCUGGUCUUGACAUAUCUAGAAUCCUGCAGAGAUGCGGGAGUGCCUUCGGGAAUUAGAAUACAGGUGCUGCAUGGCUGUCGUCAGCUCGUGUCGUGAGAUGUUGGGUUAAGUCCCGCAACGAGCGCAACCCUUGUCCUUAGUUACCAGCGGGUUAAGCCGGGAACUCUAAGGAUACUGCCAGUGACAAACUGGAGGAAGGCGGGGACGACGUCAAGUCAUCAUGGCCCUUACGACCAGGGCUACACACGUGCUACAAUGGUAGGUACAGAGGGCAGCUACACAGCGAUGUGAUGCGAAUCUCAAAAAGCCUAU